GCUCGCAGGAGAGCAGGAAACACCCGGGCGCACCUGGAGCUCCCGCUGCGCAUCCUCCACUGCGCACCCUCCACUGCUUACCCCCUCCCCCGCCGCUGCUCAACGGACCACGGGCUGGUUGGGGUGGGUGGUCCGAGAGCUAAAAAGGGCCGCACCGUCCGAGGCCAUCUUGGCCAACAUUCUACCCCCGCCUCCAUUUUAUGUAAGGAAACUGAGGCCCAGGGCAGUCAGAUGACCAGGAUCAUAAAAUCAGAGCCGAAAGGGACGUCACAGGCCAGCUAGUCCAACUGUCGUUUUACAAAGGAGGAAACUGAGGCCGAGAGAUGACUAAAUGACUUGGCCAAGGUCACACGGGUCACUCCGUGACAGCCAUCACUUGCUGCCCCGGAGAUAUUAGCCAGUGCCGAAGAGGAGUGGUUGUCCCUGAACUUCAGAAUGGGGAGCAUCUGUGGUGAAAACUUUCAGGAGGCCAAUUUAAGUUGGUCUGUUCAAGCCUAGACUCACAGAGAAGCGAGCGGGGGAGAGAGAAAGGAACCGCUGGCCCGAGGUCAUCUCUCUGCCCUCCGGCCCAGCCUCUCCUCAGCCACCCUGGGCAUCUGAGCGGCUUGCUCUUUUAAAAGACGUGUCGGACCUUCAAAGACUCCCACGGCCCACCCAAGGAGGCUCACUGUGUCUGGACGCCUGGAGAGAUAGCUUGGAAUAAUGAUUAGACAGCUGGUUUGAGAAGCAGGAAGAUUGAGUGGCAAGUCUCAUCUCUGACACAUACUGGCCGGAUGACCCUGGCUCUUCGGGUGAGAACCAGCCAGACACAAAAGGAUUCUCACCACUGCCUUGUGUGUGCUCAUCUCAGCUCUGAAAACCCCCCACCCAGUGUGGGACCCAAGGUCACCGCCCUUCGGAACACUGCACGUCUCUUCUAAGGGGAAAUGCUCCUGGCAGAUGCUGGGAGGGGGUUGGAGGAAGGGAGGAAGAAUGUAGGGAUGA
Non-coding RNA from Phascolarctos cinereus (koala), 984 nucleotides. The record is from RefSeq and is a predicted model, not a curated record. Lineage: Eukaryota; Metazoa; Chordata; Mammalia; Diprotodontia; Phascolarctidae.